This 474-nucleotide ribosomal RNA is filed under the name uncultured bacterium. Its description in RNAcentral is "bacterial SSU rRNA". It matches the Rfam family "Bacterial small subunit ribosomal RNA", at positions 365 to 830 of the family's 1533-position model. The record is from RNAcentral.
UUCGCAAUGCCCGAAAGGGUGACGAAGCGACGCCGCGUGUGGGAAGAAGGCCUUCGGGUUGUAAACCACUGUCGGGAGUUAAGAAGUGUAGGGGGGUUAAUAGUCUCCUUACUUGACGUUAGCUCCGGAGGAAGCCACGGCUAACUCUGUGCCAGCAGCCGCGGUAAUACAGAGGUGGCAAGCGUUGUUCGGAAUUAUUGGGCGUAAAGAGCACGUAGGCGGCCCUGCAAGUCAGCUGUGAAAUCCUUCUGCUCAACGGAAGAACGGCAGUUGAUACUAUAGGGCUCGAGUGCGGGAGGGGAGAGUGGAACUUCUGGUGGAGCGGUGAAAUGCGUAGAUAUCAGAAGGAACAUCGGCGGCGAAGGCGACUCUCUGGCCCGUAACCGACGCUGAGGUGCGAAAGCUAGGGGAGCAAACGGGAUUAGAUACCCCGGUAGUCCUAGCCGUAAACGAUGGGCACUAAGUAGAGGGGUU